Molecule: long non-coding RNA, 431 nt
Organism: Olea europaea var. sylvestris
Lineage: Eukaryota; Viridiplantae; Streptophyta; Magnoliopsida; Lamiales; Oleaceae
Exons: 2
Source: RefSeq, a predicted model, not a curated record
AAAACAUAUGCAAGAAUCUGGAAACUGGAAACGGGGCAGAAGCUGGGAGAAUUCGAGAAAGAGAGGGAGAAAGAGAGAAAAAGGAAAAAAGAAGGAAAUGGAAGAGGCUGAUGAUUUUUGUAAGUUUGGGUUCUUCAUUUCUUCAGCUUAUCACUUUUUUUAGAGAGGCGGGAAUGUGGAAGCUUGGAAAUCUUCGUCAAUUUAAGCAAAUUUCUAUCCAUAGAUCUGUGAGUGGAAAAAUAUAAAUAUUUUUAAAGUAUUUAUAAAUUAAGUUUAUUGUUAAAGUAUGUGCAAUUAUAUGCAAUUAUGUGUUCGAAUUAAAUGAUUUUUAUGGAAAUAUCUUUUAUUAUAAUAUAUGUGGGAUUUCAAAGAUUGUAUACGUUACAUUGUGAAUUGGAAUAUGAGAUAUGAUUUUGAGAUCGACCAGAAGA